This 70-nucleotide transfer RNA is filed under the name Camelus bactrianus (Bactrian camel). It matches the Rfam family "tRNA". From Rfam's summary of the family: Transfer RNA (tRNA) molecules are approximately 80 nucleotides in length. Their secondary structure includes four short double-helical elements and three loops (D, anti-codon, and T loops). Lineage: Eukaryota; Metazoa; Chordata; Mammalia; Artiodactyla; Camelidae. The record is from Rfam by way of RNAcentral. RNAcentral also lists the same sequence under 1 other name.
GAGGGUAUUGCUCAGUGGGAGUGCACACCUAGUGAGCAUGAGGUCCUGGGUUCAAUCCCCAGUGCCUCCC